GCAGAAUAUGUUCAACAGAAUCUAUAGCACCUUUUCUCUAGAAAUUAGAUAUAGUUACAAAUUAAGCAAGAGCUGCUCUAAAGUCUAAAGCUGUUCAUUUUGCAGAAAGGAAAAAAAUUGAGAGGAAAAACAAAGAGAAGACUCUGAUAUUUGAGAUUGAGGCACAAAGAGCAAAACUUUGACACCACUUACGUAAAAUGUACAGUGAAAAAUAAGCUAAAAAGUUUUAAAAAAAAAAAUUACAUUCAAGA
RNAcentral lists this unclassified non-coding RNA (251 nucleotides) under Hevea brasiliensis (rubber tree). Lineage: Eukaryota; Viridiplantae; Streptophyta; Magnoliopsida; Malpighiales; Euphorbiaceae. The record is from RNAcentral.